This is a long non-coding RNA of Rhagoletis zephyria (snowberry fruit fly), 99 nucleotides long. RefSeq lists it as uncharacterized. The record is from RefSeq and is a predicted model, not a curated record. Lineage: Eukaryota; Metazoa; Arthropoda; Insecta; Diptera; Tephritidae.
GGAAUACACAUUUCAAAAGGCAAUAGCGCCACAGCUAUGCCCGACACCCAGGCGUAUGAGUGACAUGGCUUACUUACAUAUAUAAGCCGUCAUCGACUC